Molecule: ribosomal RNA, 784 nt
Filed under: Enterobacteriaceae bacterium DHL-31
Lineage: Bacteria; Pseudomonadati; Pseudomonadota; Gammaproteobacteria; Enterobacterales; Enterobacteriaceae
Description: bacterial SSU rRNA
Rfam family: Bacterial small subunit ribosomal RNA
Source: RNAcentral
UUCAGAUGAACGCUGGCGGCAGGCCUAACACAUGCAAGUCGAACGGUAACAGGAAGAAGCUUGCUUCUUUGCUGACGAGUGGCGGACGGGUGAGUAAUGUCUGGGAAACUGCCUGAUGGAGGGGGAUAACUACUGGAAACGGUAGCUAAUACCGCAUAACGUCGCAAGACCAAAGAGGGGGACCUUCGGGCCUCUUGCCAUCGGAUGUGCCCAGAUGGGAUUAGCUAGUAGGUGGGGUAACGGCUCACCUAGGCGACGAUCCCUAGCUGGUCUGAGAGGAUGACCAGCCACACUGGAACUGAGACACGGUCCAGACUCCUACGGGAGGCAGCAGUGGGGAAUAUUGCACAAUGGGCGCAAGCCUGAUGCAGCCAUGCCGCGUGUAUGAAGAAGGCCUUCGGGUUGUAAAGUACUUUCAGCGGGGAGGAAGGGAGUAAAGUUAAUACCUUUGCUCAUUGACGUUACCCGCAGAAGAAGCACCGGCUAACUCCGUGCCAGCAGCCGCGGUAAUACGGAGGGUGCAAGCGUUAAUCGGAAUUACUGGGCGUAAAGCGCACGCAGGCGGUUUGUUAAGUCAGAUGUGAAAUCCCCGGGCUCAACCUGGGAACUGCAUCUGAUACUGGCAAGCUUGAGUCUCGUAGAGGGGGGUAGAAUUCCAGGUGUAGCGGUGAAAUGCGUAGAGAUCUGGAGGAAUACCGGUGGCGAAGGCGGCCCCCUGGACGAAGACUGACGCUCAGGUGCGAAAGCGUGGGGAGCAACAGGAUAGAUACCCUGGGUAGUCAAA